This 979-nucleotide unclassified non-coding RNA is filed under the name Hevea brasiliensis (rubber tree). Lineage: Eukaryota; Viridiplantae; Streptophyta; Magnoliopsida; Malpighiales; Euphorbiaceae. The record is from RNAcentral.
UCAACAGCAAGCAGGCAAGAUAAAAGUGUCGAAGUAACAGCAGCAUUACUACCAGACAGUUGAGCAACCCCAUACCUAUCUUCCUUGUGUGAGCGUGCAGUUAAGAAGGCAACUGUCCUGGCACACCAUGCACAUUGCUGGAAGUUGUUCAGGGAUUUGCAAUACUUUGGGUCUUGUUGUAAAUCAGUUUGCGACUGGAACUGAUUCGAUUGUUGGUAAGCCUUAUCAACAGAAUGAGUUUGAAGGCCUUCACCCAAAGUAGAAGCAAGCUGCUCCAGCGGCCUCAAGCAUACAGCUACAACUCUUUUGUAAGUCUCACCAGUUUCUUCAAAAAAAUGCAGCUCGCCGCCAAGUAUCAACAUUAUUUUCACAAACCAUGCAGAGAUCAAGAUAUGCAAGAAACUGUGGAAGAGAACCUGGGCUGCUCUCCUCCAAAGCUGCUAGGAGAGGCUCACUGGGAUUUGUUUCUGCAGCUGCUGAUCCUUUUGGUGGUGCAAAUAUGAAUAUUUUCGUAUGUAGCACCUGAUGUAAAUGGUGACUUAUUUCCCAACUGAGGAACACAGAAAGGCUCCCAGAAUACAGGAUGAUCUGCUCAGUGAUAAACUUCUUUAUUGUCACAUAACUCUUAAACUGAUUUGGAAGAAACACAAGCAGCACUGCUGAAAAUACGUAAGCUGUACUUGAGAGCUUUAAAGCUUGUUCAAUGGCCAAAGGAAGCCUCACUUUGAUGCUGAAGAAAGGGGGCCUCUGAAUAAUGGGAAACUCCAAAACCCAUCGCUGUUUAUAAAUAUAAAAGCAGGCAUAAAGCAAUCCAAAAGCAAAACCUCUAAGCCCAAUUCUUCCAAUCAGCUGCACUCCAUCAUAACCGUCGUUGGCCCAGCCGCAUACGCAAAUCACCGAGAGAAAUCCCGAGAUGGAAGCCGCCGCCAGAAAGAAACUAAGAUAAAGGUUAGCCUGGCGGUGGAAAUCACGGGACGAG